Molecule: long non-coding RNA, 1272 nt
Filed under: Phasianus colchicus (ring-necked pheasant)
Lineage: Eukaryota; Metazoa; Chordata; Aves; Galliformes; Phasianidae
Description: lncRNA (ENSPCLG00000012200.1)
Source: RNAcentral
AUGUGUGAGGCAGUGAUGGGUGCUGGGGGUGGGGUGCUGAGCAGCACAGAGCGCGGGGGGGGCGCAGCAUCCUGCAGCACCACAAGCCCUGCAUCCCACAGCAGGACGCACAGCAGCCCCAGCAGCACAGACACCGCAUCCCCCCCCCCCNNNNNNNNNNNNNNNNNNNNNNNNNNNNNNNNNNNNNNNNNNNNNNNGGUGCAGGAUUUGGGGUACCACAGCCCCACAGCGCAGCUCUGCAUCCCACAGCAUCCCAUCCCUGUGGGUACCACAGCAUCCCGCAUCCCAUGGCACCCCCAGCACCAUGAACCCCCCCACCUCACCCCAUGCGGUCCUGGGGGGGGUCCUGCCCCCCCACCAACACAGAGCAAAGGAGAGGGGCGUGGGAAUGACAAACACUGGGGACCCAUUGAGGUCACCGUGCCCGCCCAGCAUUGGGCACAGAGCACGUCUGCUGGCAGCUCGUGGGUUGGUGCGGGGGGGGGACACUCUCCAGCUGUCCCCACGCAUCUCAGUGCUCCCAAAUCCCCCCCCACAGCCACACACAUCCCCCUGUCCUCAUUCCCCAUCAAUGCCAGCCGGCGCUGGGCACCCCGCAGGGCACAGGGUGGCACUGGGGGGGGUCCCGGGGGGGUCACAGCCCGGCCCCUGGGAUUACCCCUCCCGGUGCUGUGCAAAAUAGGUCAGCGCUGUGCAGGGAGGUGGGGGCUGGCACUGUGCUUAACCCCCAGCAUGCCGUGUCCCCGUGUCUCCGCGUCCUCAGGGCACCGAUGUGGUGUGGGGGGGGUGUGGGGGGGGGGCGGCACGGGGUCUGCCCCCCCAUACUCACGUAGUCAUGGAAGGCUUUGGCCUCGCUCGAGUGCUCGCACGUCUCACGGCGGUCGGGGGCUGCACAGUAGAGGUCCCAGAAGACGCUGCAGGGGGGGGGCACAAAGCGUCAGGGCCCCCCCCGGUGUCCCCACGUCCCCCCACCGUGCUGUCAGCCCCCAUCCCAGGGCUAUGGGGGGGGGUGGGCUGAGCCCGACCGCAGUUGAGGCACUGAUGAGGAGUGGGUGUGGGGCUGGGGGGGCACAGGGCUGUGCUCAUAGCACUGCUGUGGGGUGGAUGGGGUGGGGGUGGUCCUGCCCCCCCCCCCAGCUGCAGUGUUUGCCUGGAGACGGUCGCUAUGCACUGCAGCCCAAAUUCCUGGGCCCUGACAUCAGGAGGCGCAUCCCAGGGUGGGAUGGGGUGGGGUGGGGUGGCUCCAAUGUCAGCCCCCCCGGGUCGAGGUGA